RNAcentral lists this ribosomal RNA (518 nucleotides) under Cethosia cyane. RNAcentral's name for it is "partial 16S ribosomal RNA". The stretch from base 391 to 518 matches the Rfam family "Archaeal large subunit ribosomal RNA", at positions 2542 to 2670 of the family's 2987-position model. Lineage: Eukaryota; Metazoa; Arthropoda; Insecta; Lepidoptera; Nymphalidae. The record is from RNAcentral.
GUCUUUUUGAUUAAUAAUUUAAAGUCUAAUCUGCCCCCUGAUUUAAAAUUAAAGGGCUGCAGUAUAUUGACUGUACAAAGGUAGCAUAAUCAAUAGUCUUUUAAAUGGAGACUUGUAUGAAAGAUUUGAUGAAAUAUAAACUGUCUCUAAUUUAGAAAUAGAAAUUAAUUUUUUAAUUAAAAAGUUAAAAUAUAUUUAAAAGACGAGAAGACCCUAUAGAGUUUUAUAAUUAUUGAUAAUAAUAAUUAAUUAUAUAAAUUAUAAAUUUUAAUAAUUAAAAUUAUUUUAUUGGGGUGAUAGAAAAAUUAAAAUAACUUUUUUUAAAAAUAAAACAUAAAUAAGUGAUUAUAUGAUCCAUAAUUGAUGAUUAAAAGAAAAAAUUACCUUAGGGAUAACAGCGUAAUUUUUUUUUUUAGUACAAAUAAAAAAAAAAGGUUGCGACCUCGAUGUUGGAUUAAGAUAAAAUUUAAAUGCAAAAGUUUAAAAUUUUGAUCUGUUCGAUCAUUAAAAUCUUACAU